AUGACCAUCAUACGUUACCUUUGUUUGAGCAGAUCCUUAAGAUGGACACGUAUAGCCUUAUAUGUACCAUGGUCACUCUAUGUCUGACCCAUGAAGCACUUACCGUACACGUGAUGCGAUCUCAGGCGUGAGGCAGGUGCGAGAUCCAAUCGCUAGAGUGAGAAUGUUGUUCAUCUCAUGGUAAUCACAUAGCUACUGAGAAAGAGCUAAAGCUAAACUGUGAGCUAAAGGGCCGGCUUAAACAUCGACUACACCCGGGUGCGAUAGUCACUGAAUAUUCAAUUUUUUUAGAAAUUUUUUUUUUACCACUAAAUAUUUGAAUUACUCACCAGAUUUUGAGGAAAACUGUAAAAUCAAAUGAUGGGUUGCAAAAAAAAGAAGAAGAAA
Molecule: long non-coding RNA, 387 nt
Organism: Camelina sativa (false flax)
Lineage: Eukaryota; Viridiplantae; Streptophyta; Magnoliopsida; Brassicales; Brassicaceae
Source: RefSeq, a predicted model, not a curated record